Molecule: ribosomal RNA, 533 nt
Filed under: Anadara gubernaculum
Lineage: Eukaryota; Metazoa; Mollusca; Bivalvia; Arcoida; Arcidae
Description: Scapharca gubernaculum partial 12S ribosomal RNA
Rfam family: Bacterial small subunit ribosomal RNA
Source: RNAcentral
CGUUACUCCUGGUGUUAAGAAUAGCGAAUUUUUUUUAAGUUGAGUGUUUAAUUGCUUGCCGGGCGACUACGUCCGAAAGGGUAAAAGUCGAAGUACUUGGCGGUCUAGUGAUGAACCAGCCCGUGAGACUUGACGGUUAAUCCGAUAGUCCGCGUAAAUUCUACUCUUUCUUGAAUUCGACAGCUGGUGUAUGGCCGUCGCGUGUUGCCGUCAGGUAAUUGCAAGAUCCAGGGCUUCUUUUCUGACCUAACGUGGACAGAGAAAUCGUGUUUAUUUAUAAACGCCAAAAUCUACGGGCUAGUAGUGAAUGUGUGGAAUAAGUCAGGUCGUUAUGCCGUCCAUGAAGGAGGCUUAGUUGAGUCACAUUGAUUAGAUCAAGCGGAACCGAGAAGGAAGUAGCUCGGGGAAGAAGUAAUGGGUAGUAAUAAGAGAAUAAUUCGCUCUUAUGAAUCGUUGCACUCCUAGGUGUACAAAUCGCCCGUCGUCCCCAGAGUCCCGAUAUACUGGGACUGUGUGUGCCAUACUCCCUAGUA